UUAAGCAGCUCAGAUAUUAUCAGAGACCCAGGUGCUUUCUAUUUUUCCACUCCGUCAUAACCCUCAUGUUGUCUAUUGUUCUCAGGCUUGUUGCCUGAUGUUAGAGAUCGGAGCCCCAGUGCCCAGCUCCCUGGACAGACUUAGCGAUGUGAGCAGCAGAGGGAAGUUGUCAUCUUCUGUGUGUUCCCUUUUAUCAGCAAGGAAGAGCUUGCUCUGAAGCUUUCUAGAAGUUUCCCCUAAUAUCUCACAGGCCAGAAUUUCAUCAUAUACCCACCUCUAACUGGUCAGUGGCCAAGAGAAUAUAUUUACUAUGAAUGGUUCAGACUAAUAAUUAAUCUGAGCUGCCUUUCUGAAGCACGCAGCCAUCUUGUAUCAAAGAAAACUGGGGUUAGCAAAUGGAGGAGAAAUGGUUGUAGGACAAGCAACUAACCGUGUCUGUAGCCCCACAGUUCUGUGACAACAGCGUACCUGAGAUAUGCCUAUCUGGAUUUCCAGGAAACUUUCUGAAGAUCUUCAUUUGACACAGGAUACCUUGUGGACUCCUUGUGUAGGCAAAGGUACCUUUACUUGCCCCUACAUUUCACUGUGGGUUUGGCUUCAUCUAGAGUGCCACAUCAAAGGCACUUUCCCCCAGGACUUUGAGGUACUGUUCCAGCGCCUUCCAGCACUCAAUGUGUCUGCAGAGAAGUCUGAGAAACUCCAUGGGUGGAAAUCUGGAGACACCUGUUGGGGGAGAACCUACACAUUCUGGAAGACCGGUGGUAUGGGUGUUUGAGCCUUUCAGUGAAUUGCAUCACAAUGCCGUGGAAGCGGUUUACUCUAAUUCUUCAUGAUGGGUUAGAAUGGCUGCAGCAUCUGCCCCUGAGCCCGCAACCACCAAAAGGAGACUACACAAGUGAAGCUGUAGCUGUUCCAGGCUCUGCCUCGAAGGGACUGGCAACAUUGCCUUCCACGCUCUGAGAGCACUUGCUGUCAGGACGCCCAACUGCCUCGUGAGCCCGGCUGUCCUUCUGGAGAGACUGCGGGGGCGAUGCCGUGCACGUCUGCAGCUGCAGGAGCAUUUUGGCAGAACCUCCGGGUGGCUUCCGCCCCAGCUGCCAAUCAGCUGCAACUCCACGAGCCCCCGAGCCCUGGGGUGAGCCCAGCAGAGCUGCCCAGCUGAGCCCUUUCAACCCGCAGAACCACGAGGGAGGUUGGAAUGGUUGUUCUAAAUAGGGUGGGAACUCGGAGGAGGCAAGAGGGCGCCUAGGACACAGGAUGUAAGGAGGUACUCUGCUCUUGGGGACCCAGGUUGUCCUUGUUUGACCUUGA
Lutra lutra (Eurasian river otter) is the source of this 1311-nucleotide long non-coding RNA. RefSeq lists it as uncharacterized. The record is from RefSeq and is a predicted model, not a curated record. The transcript is spliced from 3 exons. Lineage: Eukaryota; Metazoa; Chordata; Mammalia; Carnivora; Mustelidae.